Molecule: long non-coding RNA, 2389 nt
Filed under: Theobroma cacao (cacao)
Lineage: Eukaryota; Viridiplantae; Streptophyta; Magnoliopsida; Malvales; Malvaceae
Description: long non-coding RNA (TCAC_LNC003154)
Source: RNAcentral
AGGGUGCUACACUAAACACCUCCACAUUAAAUAAAAAUUGAUUUAGGGCCAUGUCGUCACCUUUUUUUCUCAAAAUCAUCACUAAUUUGCUAACUCUGGUUCAUGUGUUAGACAUGUCUCGCUUUGCAAUCACAAAGCAUUUGUCAAGACUCAGUACUCCCUUCGAGCCCAUGACAACUGCCACGAUAUCUCGAUAGACAUUCAUUACCCGAAAUGUCAACCGAAACCUCGCAAGGCUCUUGCAUCAAUUUUACGUCUCCUCUGUGAGCAACAGUUACUAAAUAUCAUGUUUUAAGGGAAUAUAAAUUAUUUUUAAAUCAAAAAUAAACAAAUGUAAUUUCUUCCACACAAGGGUAUUUUGAUCAUUUUUACCCAAAAAUUUUGCAACCUGGUUAAAAUACAGCAUACGAUCCAAAAAUAUACAUUUCUUAUCUAAAAAUAAUUUUAGUAAUCUAAAUCAUCAUUUAAAAUGAAAUUUUGGCUAAUCAAACUAAAUAAAAUAUUUCAUUUUCUUAUAAAACAUAUUUAUAGAAUCCUGCAUAAACAAUUUUUUGUAGCGUAAGAGCAAAAUAAAUUCAUAUAUAUAAUAGCACACUAAACCAGGUAUACGAAAAUAUUCUACAAUGACAUGUGGGCCCUAAAAUAACCGAAAAUAUACAAGACUGUAGACCUUCGAUUUCUAAGGAUGCAAAUUCAAAAGCAACCCUCGACAAAAUCAGUUGUCUACAGACUGUCCUGAGCUUGAAAUGGAUAAAAAGAAGGGGUGAGUUUUUACAAACCCAGUGAGUAAGUAAAAUUCAUCUAUAACAUCUAAAGUCGAGUAAAUGGAGACAGUUAAAUCAUCCCAUCAUAAUAUAGUUCAUAACAUUCAAAACUCAUUUCAAUUCCUAUAAAACAAUUACAUUUCAUAAAAAUAAUUAACAAGGCUUAUGAUUCUCUUAAAAACUUGGCUUGUGCAAAAACUCAUACCUGGUGACACCUUGGCCCAGGCAUCCAACCAAGUUCGCCAAGGAUGUUAAAAUGACAUUACCCAUAAAACAUGUUUUUACUUUUAAAAUAUAGCCAUUCCUUGGCGCUGGCUGAGUUUCAUCCUCAUGUGGUGGUUCGGCGUGAAGUGAACUCUAAACUUACCUUAGGAGAUACCCUUCGCGCUUCUCAUACUAAGGCAAAAUAUAACGGGGUUUACCGUACCCCUCUAAUAGGCUAGUCCAUGAAAACCCGCCCACUGCAGUAGGCUAAUCAAAUAACCCACCAAAUCAAUAAACAUUUCGAUAGCAUGACAUGGCUAAUAUGAUAUUAUCCAGUCUGUCAAGGUAAAACAAAAAUAGUUCAUAUAAUCCACAAACCACAAAUCUAGCCAUUCAUGCCAUCACAUUGUCAUAAGCCAUCAAUCAAAUUACAUAUAUAUAUAGAUAACACAACUAUUUAAUCUCCAUUUACUCAAUUUCCAAAAUCAUCAUUGAAUUGCAAAACAAUUUAUAAAUCUCAUUCAUUUAACCAUCACUUAACUUGUAAAACAUAAAAAUCUACGGUUUAAGUUCAUUAUUCUUUAAAAUCAUAAAAAAAUGAAUAUAAACUACUUUAGAUAGUUAAGAUGAACAUUUGAUUACUCACAAUCGCAGGAGUUUGGAGUACUCCUAUUCUUGGUCCUCGAGCACAAUAUCUUUACCCUUAUCAGAGGGCGCACCACAUAUGCAUAAUACACGACAUGUAAUUCAAUAUAUUUGUGCCAAACUAUUAUAAAACUAUUUUAGUCUCUAUAUGAAUGCAUGACAUUGAAUGAAAAUUGUCCGAAUAAUCACUUAAAGAUGGUGUUCUACGUGGGUUCAAUUAUGAUCGGACUGAAUUGGCAUUCGACCUAACUCGCACUAUGCCUUGUUUAAUUAGCCAAAACAUCCAAUUCAACUUCAAAUAUCUUCAUUACACUUCCAAUAUUCCAAAUACACCAAAGUAUCUCAAUGAUCUUAAUUGUGACUUAAUUCACCGUAAUCGAAAUUCAUUCCGAUUUCGAUAUCCGAUACCAUAAAUCAUCAAUUACGAGCUAAUAACAUGAAAUACAACAAAAUCCAUCAUCAACAUGUCACCUAAUAAAUUCGACUAAAGAGGGUUAUUGAAGGGCAUGUGAUUUUCUUGCUUGUUUUUCAUGCCAAACAUCAUCAAACAUCUAAAAACACUAAGAUAUCAUGAAAUCUAGCAAAAUUCAUCAUCAAAACCUCUCUCCCUAUGUUUAGCUAGCAUGUAUUCCCUCAUGGAAACUUGUGUUUCAUCCAUAGAAAAUGAAAAAGAAAGCAUGGGUAAGAUAGAUCUUAAGCUAAAAUUGAAAAAUCUUACUUUUGAUUGCUUUGUUCCUUGAAAUUCAACAAAUUUCUCUUGAAUUUUCCUCUCUAGG